GUGAGGAAUCUUCCACAAUGGGCGAAAGCCUGAUGGAGCAACGCCGCGUGAAGGAUGAAGGUCUUCGGAUUGUAAACUUCUUUUAUGAGUGAAGAAUAUGACGGUAACUCAUGAAUAAGCACCGGCUAACUACGUGCCAGCAGCCGCGGUCAUACGUAGGGUGCAAGCAUUAUCCGGAGUGACUGGGCGUAAAGAGUUGCGUAGGCGGUUAUGUAAGCGAAUAGUGAAACCUGGUGGCUCAACCACACAGACUAUUAUUCGAACUGCAUAACUCGAGAAUGGUAGAGGUAACUGGAAUUUCUUGUGUAGGAAUGAAAUCCGUAGAUAUAAGAAGGAACACCAAUGGCGUAGGCAGGUUACUGGGCCAUUUCUGACGCUAAGGCACGAAAGCGUGGGGAGCGAACCGGAUUAGAAACCCCAGUAGUCC
Molecule: ribosomal RNA, 427 nt
Filed under: uncultured bacterium
Lineage: Bacteria
Description: partial 16S ribosomal RNA
Rfam family: Bacterial small subunit ribosomal RNA
Source: RNAcentral